CCUACGGGAGGCAGCAGUGGGGAAUAUUGCACAAUGGGCGCAAGCCUGAUGCAGCGACGCCGCGUGAAGGAAGAAGGUCUUCGGAUUGUAAACUUCUAUCAGCAGGGAAGAAAAAAAUGACGGUACCUGACUAAGAAGCUCCGGCUAACUACGUGCCAGCAGCCGCGGUAAUACGUAGGGAGCGAGCGUUAUCCGGAUUUACUGGGUGUAAAGGGUGCGUAGGCGGCAUGGUAAGUCAGAAGUGAAAUUUUGGGGCUCAACUCCAGAGCUGCUUCUGAAACUGCUGUGCUAGAGUGUGGGAGAGGAAAGUGGAAUUCCGAGUGUAGCGGUGAAAUGCGUAGAGAUUCGGAGGAACACCAGUAGCGAAGGCGGCUUUCUGGACCAUAACUGACGCUGAGGCACGAAAGCGUGGGGAGCAAACAGGAUUAGAUACCCUGGUAGUC
RNAcentral lists this ribosomal RNA (443 nucleotides) under Cellulosilyticum ruminicola. RNAcentral describes it as "bacterial SSU rRNA". It matches the Rfam family "Bacterial small subunit ribosomal RNA", at positions 338 to 795 of the family's 1533-position model. Lineage: Bacteria; Bacillati; Bacillota; Clostridia; Lachnospirales; Cellulosilyticaceae. The record is from RNAcentral.